RNAcentral lists this ribosomal RNA (252 nucleotides) under uncultured bacterium. Its description in RNAcentral is "partial 16S ribosomal RNA". It matches the Rfam family "Bacterial small subunit ribosomal RNA", at positions 525 to 776 of the family's 1533-position model. The record is from RNAcentral.
ACGUAGGGUGCGAGCGUUAAUCGGAAUAACUGGGCGUAAAGAGUGCGUAGGCGGAUAUUUAAGUUAGAUGUGAAAUGCCCGAGCUUAACUUGGGACUGGCAUGUAAUACUGGGUAUCUAGAGUUUGUCAGAGGGGGGUAGAAUUCCACGUGUAGCAGUGAAAUGCGUAGAGAUGUGGAGGAAUACCAAUGGCGAAGGCAGCCCCCUGGGAUAGAACUGACGCUGAGGCACGAAAGCGUGGGUAGCAAACAGG